AAUAUUGGACAAUGGGGGCAACCCUGAUCCAGCCAUGCCGCGAGUGUGAAGAAGGUCUNCGGAUUNUNAAGCACUUUAAGUUGGGNAGAUGGGCUUUAGGUUAAUACCCUGAAGUUUUGACGUUACCAAGAGAUUAAGCACCGGCUCACUCUGUGCCAGCAGCCGCGGUAAUACGACGGGUGCAAGCGUUAAUCGGAAUUACUGGGCGUAAAGCGCGCGUAGGUUGUUCAGUAAGAUGGUUGUGAAAUCCCCGGGCUUAACCUGGGAAAUGCUUUCAUAACUGCUGAGCUAGAGUACGGUAGAGAGUAGUGGAAUUUCCUGUGUAGCGGUGAAAUGCGUAGAUAUAGGAAGGAACACCAGUGGCGAAGGCGACUACCUGGACUGAUACUGACACUGAGGUGCGAAAGCGUGGGGAGCAAAC
This 421-nucleotide ribosomal RNA is filed under the name uncultured bacterium. RNAcentral's name for it is "partial 16S ribosomal RNA". It matches the Rfam family "Bacterial small subunit ribosomal RNA", at positions 360 to 773 of the family's 1533-position model. The record is from RNAcentral.